This 253-nucleotide ribosomal RNA is filed under the name uncultured bacterium. Its description in RNAcentral is "partial 16S ribosomal RNA". It matches the Rfam family "Bacterial small subunit ribosomal RNA", at positions 524 to 776 of the family's 1533-position model. The record is from RNAcentral.
UACGUAGGGUGCGAGCGUUAAUCGGAAUUACUGGGCGUAAAGUGUGCGCAGGCGGCCGCGCAAGUCGAGUGUGAAAUCCCCGAGCUUAACUUGGGAAUUGCGCUCGAAACUACGUGGCUGGAGUGUGGCAGAGGAAGGUGGAAUUCCACGUGUAGCGGUGAAAUGCGUAGAUAUCAGGAGGAAUACCGAUGGCGAAGGCAGGUCUCUGGGCUAACACUGACGCUCAUGCACGAAAGCGUGGGGAGCAAACAGG